Molecule: ribosomal RNA, 491 nt
Filed under: uncultured bacterium
Lineage: Bacteria
Description: partial 16S ribosomal RNA
Rfam family: Bacterial small subunit ribosomal RNA
Source: RNAcentral
GAUGAACGCUGGCUACAGGCUUAACACAUGCAAGUCGAGGGGAAACGGCAUUGAGUGCUUGCACUGAAUGGACGUCGACCGGCGCACGGGUGAGUAACGCGUAUCCAACCUUCCCGUUACUGCGGGAUAACCUGCCGAAAGGCAGACUAAUACCGCAUGUUCUUCGAUGACGGCAUCAGAUUCGAAGCAAAGAUCCGUCGGUAACGGAGGGGGAUGCGUCUGAUUAGCUAGUUGGCGGGGCGACGGCCCACCAAGGCGACGAUCAGUAGGGGUUCUGAGAGGAAGGUCCCCCACAUUGGAACUGAGACACGGUCCAAACUCCUACGGGAGGCAGCAGUGAGGAAUAUUGGUCAAUGGGCGGAAGCCUGAACCAGCCAAGUAGCGUGCAGGAUGACGGCCCUACGGGUUGUAAACUGCUUUAUGCGGGGAUAAAGUGAGGGACGCGUCCCUUUUUGCAGGUACCGCAUGAAUAAGGACCGGCUAAUUCCGUG